GGCUUCCUCGGGGCAUAAAGUUUGGACUCUAAUUCACUUUUCACUCUGGAUAGUUAAGAUUGAUUUGCCCCAGGGGCUUUGGGGAGGAUGGCUCUUGUGUCAACAUGGCAGGAUAGUACCCAGGCUGCAGGGUCACCUCUGAAGCCCCUCGGUUAUAAAUAGCUUCAAAACUGCCUUAACAGCUGGCAGUCGGCCAAUGGAGAGGAAAACAGAUUGAGGUGAGCUGCAGGAAGUAGAUCACGGUAGGAAGGAGGAGACCUAAGAGGAAAGAGUCAUAUGGAAAAAUAAACAAGGGCAUUUUAGGGUACCAGAAGAGAAAAGCAGUAUUUCCAUGUUGCUAUUUUAGUAUUAGGCUUCUCGACCAUUCCACUCUCUCUACCCCGUACCUGUCGAGGAAAGGAAGAGCCGGCGGGAGUCAGUGAGGCUGAGUUAGCAGACCCUAUUAAAGGAAGAAAGAGGAAGAAGAAGAAGCAUUUGUUAAAUGCCUAUCUUAUACCAGGCACCAUGAAGGAAGAACUAAGGAUGAGUUUUGAAGAAGUCAAGAAUAACCUGUUUAUGUCAAUAAAGUGGCCAUAGCAAAUGUAUGCAUGGCAUUAAAUUACUUUUUUUUUCUUUUGUGAACUCAAACUUUAAAACAUUGAAGAUUCA
Molecule: long non-coding RNA, 648 nt
Filed under: Monodelphis domestica (gray short-tailed opossum)
Lineage: Eukaryota; Metazoa; Chordata; Mammalia; Didelphimorphia; Didelphidae
Description: lncRNA (ENSMODG00000030674.2)
Source: RNAcentral